RNAcentral lists this ribosomal RNA (738 nucleotides) under uncultured bacterium. Its description in RNAcentral is "bacterial SSU rRNA". It matches the Rfam family "Bacterial small subunit ribosomal RNA", at positions 49 to 754 of the family's 1533-position model. The record is from RNAcentral.
CUAUACAUGCAAGUCGAACGCAAUCUUUGACUAAUGAGUGCUUGCACUCAGCGGUCAAAGUGCGAGUGGCGAACGGGUGAGUAACACGUGGGCAAUCUGCCCAAAAGUGGGGGAUAACACUUGGGAACAGGUGCUAAUACCGCAUCAACCGGCUGACCGCAUGGUCGGCCGGGCAAAGACGGCGUCAGCUGUCGCUUUUGGAUGAGCCCGCGGCGUAUUAACUAGUUGGUAAGGUAACGGCUUACCAAGGUGAUGAUACGUAGCCGAACUGAGAGGUUGAUCGGCCACAUUGGGACUGAGACACGGCCCAAACUCCUACGGGAGGCAGCAGUAGGGAAUCUUCCACAAUGGACGCAAGUCUGAUGGAGCAACGCCGCGUGUAUGAAGAAGGUCUUCGGACCGUAAAAUACUGUUGUCAGAGAAGAACACGUGAUAGAGUAACUGCUAUGGCGCUGACGGUAUCUGACCAGCAAGUCACGGCUAACUACGUGCCAGCAGCCGCGGUAAUACGUAGGUGGCAAGCGUUGUCCGGAUUUAUUGGGCGUAAAGGGAACGCAGGCGGUCUUUUAAGUCUGAUGUGAAAGCCUUCGGCUUAACCGGAGAAGUGCAUUGGAAACUGGAAGACUUGAGUGCAGAAGAGGAGAGUGGAACUCCAUGUGUAGCGGUGAAAUGCGUAGAUAUAUGGAAGAACACCAGUGGCGAAAGCGGCUCUCUGGUCUGUAACUGACGCUGAGGUUC